CCUACGGGUGGCAGCAGUGAGGAAUAUUGGUCAAUGGACGCGAGUCUGAACCAGCCAAGUAGCGUGAAGGAUGACUGCCCUAUGGGUUGUAAACUUCUUUUAUAUGGGAAUAAAAUGUUCCACGUGUGGCUUUUUGUAUGUACUUUAUGAAUAAGGAUCGGCUAACUACGUGCCAGCAGCCGCGGUAAUACGUAGGGGGCAAGCGUUAUCCGGAUUUACUGGGUGUAAAGGGAGCGUAGAUCGCUUGACAAGUCAGUUGUGAAAGUCAAGGGCUCAACCCUGGAAUUGCAUUUGAAACUGGCAGGCUUGAGUACAGGAGAGGUAAGCGGAAUUCCUAGUGUAGCGGUGAAAUGCGUAGAUAUUAGGAAGAACUCCGAUUGCGAAGGCAGCUUACUAAACUGUAACUGACAUUGAGGCUCGAAAGCGUGGGGAGCAAACAGGAUUAGAUACCCGGGUAGUC
This 460-nucleotide ribosomal RNA is filed under the name uncultured bacterium. RNAcentral's name for it is "partial 16S ribosomal RNA". It matches the Rfam family "Bacterial small subunit ribosomal RNA", at positions 338 to 795 of the family's 1533-position model. The record is from RNAcentral.